RNAcentral lists this ribosomal RNA (910 nucleotides) under uncultured bacterium. RNAcentral describes it as "bacterial SSU rRNA". It matches the Rfam family "Bacterial small subunit ribosomal RNA", at positions 33 to 934 of the family's 1533-position model. The record is from RNAcentral.
ACGCUGGCGGCAGGCUUAACACACGCAAGUCGAACGGUAACAGGAAUUAGCUUGCUAAUUUGCUGACGAGUGGCGGACGGGUGAGUAAUGCUUGGGAAUCUGGCUUAUGGAGGGGGAUAACUACGGGAAACUGUAGCUAAUACCGCGUAAAAUCUUCGGAUUAAAGGGUGGGACUUUCGAGCCACCUGCCAUAAGAUGAGCCCAAGUGGGAUUAGGUAGUUGGUUAGGUAAAGGCUGACCAAGCCGACGAUCUCUAGCUGGUCUGAGAGGAUGACCAGCCACACUGGAACUGAGACACGGUCCAGACUCCUACGGGAGGCAGCAGUGGGGAAUACUGCACAAUGGGGGGAACCCUGAUGCAGCCAUGCCGCGUAAAUGAAGAAGGCCUUCGGGUUGUAAAGUUCUUUCGGUGACGAGGAAGGUUGAUAGGUUAAUAGCCUAUCAAAUUGACGUUAAUCACAGAAGAAGCACCGGCUAACUCCGUGCCAGCAGCCGCGGUAAUACGGGGGGUGCGAGCGUUAAUCGGAAUAACUGGGCGUAAAGGGCACGCAGGCGGUGACUUAAGUGAGAUGUGAAAGCCCCGAGCUUAACUUGGGAAUUGCAUUUCAUACUGGGUCGCUAGAGUACUUUAGGGAGGGGUAGAAUUCCACGUGUAGCGGUGAAAUGCGUAGAGAUGUGGAGGAAUACCGAAGGCGAAGGCAGCCCCUUGGGAAUGUACUGACGCUCAUGUGCGAAAGCGUGGGGAGCAAACAGGAUUAGAUACCCUGGUAGUCCACGCUGUAAACGAUGUCGAUUUGGGGAUUGGGCUUUGAGCUUGGUGCCCGUAGCUAACGUGAUAAAUCGACCGCCUGGGGAGUACGGCCGCAAGGUUAAAACUCAAAUGAAUUGACGGGGGCCCGCACAAGCGGUG